RNAcentral lists this transfer RNA (68 nucleotides) under Nisia fuliginosa. RNAcentral describes it as "tRNA-His". Lineage: Eukaryota; Metazoa; Arthropoda; Insecta; Hemiptera; Meenoplidae. The record is from RNAcentral.
UUUCAAUUAGUUUAAUAAAUAAAAUUUUGAUUUGUGGUAUCAAUGAUUCUCUUUUUGAGAAUUGAAAA